CCUACGGGAGGCAGCAGUGAGGAAUCUUGGUCAAUGGACGAGAGUCUGAACCAGCCAAGUAGCGUGAAGGAUGACUGCCCUAUGGGUGGUAAACUUCUUUUAUAAAGGAAUAAAACGAGGCACGUGUGCCUUUUUGCAUGUACUUUAUGUAUAAGGAUCGGCUAACUACGUGCCAGCAGCCGCGGUAAUACGGAGGAUCCGAGCGUUAUCCGGAUUUAUGGGGUUUAAAGGGAGCGUAGAUGGGUUGUUAAGUCAGUUGUGAAAGUUUGCGGCUCAACCGUAAAAUUGCAAUUGAUACUGGAAGUCUUGAGUACAGUUGAGGUAGGCGGAAUUCGUGGUGUAGCGGUGAAAUGCUUAGAGAUAACGAAGAACCCCGAUUGCGAAGGCAGCUUACUAAACUGUGACUGACAUUGAUGCUCGAAAGUGUGGGUAUCAAACAGGAUUAGAUACCCUAGUAGUC
RNAcentral lists this ribosomal RNA (460 nucleotides) under uncultured bacterium. RNAcentral describes it as "partial 16S ribosomal RNA". It matches the Rfam family "Bacterial small subunit ribosomal RNA", at positions 338 to 795 of the family's 1533-position model. The record is from RNAcentral.